UACGUAGGGUCCGAGCGUUGUCCGGAAUUAUUGGGCGUAAAGGGCUCGUAGGCGGUUUGUUGCGUCGGGAGUGAAAACUUCGAGCUUAACUCGGAGCUUGCUUUCGAUACGGGCAGACUUGAGGCAUUCAGGGGAGAACGGAAUUUCUGGUGUAGCGGUGAAAUGCGCAGAUAUCAGAAGGAACACCGGCGGCGAAGGCGGUUCUCUGGGAAUGUUCUGACGCUGAGGAGCGAAAGCGUGGGGAGCGAACAGG
This 253-nucleotide ribosomal RNA is filed under the name uncultured bacterium. RNAcentral's name for it is "partial 16S ribosomal RNA". It matches the Rfam family "Bacterial small subunit ribosomal RNA", at positions 524 to 776 of the family's 1533-position model. The record is from RNAcentral.